UCAUUUUUUAGUCGUCAAAAUGAAACUUAUAUUUUAUUCGUAUACUUAUUUAUUAUUUAUAAUCAACAUAUUUAGGUCUACCCCACAUCAAACAUUUUCUUUAAAAUGCUCCAAUAUUCAAAUCAUUUCCAUAAGUGAAUCCGAAGAAAAAGAUUAUCUGGAUGAAAUAUUCAGGCGUAAUCCCGAAUAUUAGGCCCGAGUUGUAAGAGCUUGCAAGCCAUGAGUAUUCGUC
This 232-nucleotide long non-coding RNA is filed under the name Lathyrus oleraceus (garden pea). RNAcentral's name for it is "Pisum sativum (pea) long non-coding RNA (PSAT_LNC019243)". Lineage: Eukaryota; Viridiplantae; Streptophyta; Magnoliopsida; Fabales; Fabaceae. The record is from RNAcentral.